UUUCCCUGGACCCUCGCCUCUUUACAAAUUACAGAAAGCCUAGAGUCCCAAGACCUCUUAUGUCUAUAUGUACUUGUGUCCUGGCAGUUGCCCCGAGUUGCGUUUCUUCUGGAAGGCAACAAAUGGCAGUAGGGCAGAUUCCAGGUUCUCAGGCUGAGAAGAAUACACUGUCCAGAACUCCAGAGACCGAGGACAACCCUGGAAAGGAAAGCAUCAUCUGGAUCCAUGUCUUUUUAUGUGGCGUCAGCUCAGCCCAGUAUCAUGACAGGCGGAGGCCUCAAGGGGGCAGUGUCUGCCCAGAGAUGCUCCCAAAUCUGGGGGUGGGGGGGUUGGGGGGUAGCAAUCCCUAGGAAGGCCUUGGUGGGAUGGUCUGGGCCUGCUGAGCCACUGGCUAGAGACAAGAUCCUCAACACACCCCACACAGAAGUGGGGUUCUCUCUGGCAGUACCCCUUCCAGGAGGCCGGAGUGACCCCAGCUCCCACCACAGAUGGGAGGAGAAAAAAGAACAUUUGUGAUUCAUGGGAAGAGGUCGAAAUAUGAACAUUAAUGGGAAUUUGGAAGAAGUUGAUUCCAACCCUCAUGGAUGGCAUUGAGGGGUCAAAACUAUAGUGGAGGAAGCCACUGGAGAUGAGGUGGAAUAGCAAGGGAACAACAAUUAGAAGUGAAGACUGAAAAAUGGGACUGACUUGCUGCAAUCUCAUGAUAAAACUUGAACAGAUGAGGAGGUGCUUCUUACGAAUGAGCAAAGAAAGUGAUUUUUUGAGAUGGAAUCUACUUUUGGUGAAGAUGCUAUGAAGAUUGUUGAAAUGUUUUAGAAUGCCACAUAAAUGUAAUUGAUAAAUCAGCAGCAGGGUUUGAGAAGACUGGCUCCAAUUUUGUAUUUUGGGGUUUUUAAAAUUUUAAGUGAAUAUAUAGUGCAAUAUUGGUUUCUGGAGUAGACUUCACUGAUUCAUUACCUACAUAUAACAACCAGUGCUCAUCACAAGUGCUCUCCUUAAUACCCAACCCCCAUCUAGCACAUCCCCCACCCACCUCCCUCCUCAGACCUUCAGUUUGUUCUCUAUCAUUAAGAGUCACUUAUGGGGACACCUGGGUGGAUCAGUGGUUGAGCAUCUGCCUUCAGCUUGGGUUGUGAUCCCAGGGUCCUGGGAUUGAGUCCAACAUCGGGCACCCAGCAGGGACCCUGCUUCUCCUUCUGCCAAUGUCUCUGCCUCUCUCUGUGUCUCUCAGGAAUAAAUAAAAUCUUUUUUAAAAAGUCA
This 1260-nucleotide long non-coding RNA is filed under the name Vulpes vulpes (red fox). Its description in RNAcentral is "lncRNA (ENSVVUG00000013449.1)". The stretch from base 732 to 797 matches the Rfam family "mir-1255 microRNA precursor family". Lineage: Eukaryota; Metazoa; Chordata; Mammalia; Carnivora; Canidae. The record is from RNAcentral.